This 253-nucleotide ribosomal RNA is filed under the name uncultured bacterium. RNAcentral describes it as "partial 16S ribosomal RNA". It matches the Rfam family "Bacterial small subunit ribosomal RNA", at positions 524 to 776 of the family's 1533-position model. The record is from RNAcentral.
UACGUAGGGGGCAAGCGUUGUCCGGAUUUAUUGGGCGUAAAGCGCUCGCAGGUGGUUCGUUGCGUCGUGCGUGAAAGGCCCCGGCUCAACUGGGGAGGGUCGUGCGAUACGGGCGGACUGGAGGCCAGUAGGGGGAUGCGGAAUUCCGGGUGUAGUGGUGGAAUGCGCAGAUAUCAGGAGGAACACCGAUGGCGAAGGCAGGUCUCUGGGCCACUACUGACGCUGAGAAGCGAAAGCAUGGGGAGCGAACAGG